Molecule: unclassified non-coding RNA, 2135 nt
Filed under: Penaeus japonicus
Lineage: Eukaryota; Metazoa; Arthropoda; Malacostraca; Decapoda; Penaeidae
Description: arf-GAP with dual PH domain-containing protein 1- like, transcript variant X2
Source: RNAcentral
GACUCCAACAUCGCAGUAGUGUCUGAGCGAGGGUGAGGAGAGGUCGUGUCGUUUCUCUCUCUCUCUCUCACUCUCUCCCCUUUUCGGUCUCUGUCGCCAAAGGACUCCCGCCGAGUCUCAAAAUAAUGCCAGUUUGAAAAGGGCCCGGAGUGAACCUUCCUUUCCCCCUACCAAGUGUCGCGAGCGCAAAAAGGAACACGAUGACCGAUAGGAAUUCACGCAGGAUCGCUGACCUCGUGAAACUCUCUGGGAACAGCGAGUGUGCAGACUGUGGAUAUCAACCUCCAGAAUGGGCAUCAUACAACAUUGGCGUAUUCCUGUGCACAACAUGCGCUGCGUGGCACAGACGACUAGGGUCACAUAUAUCCAAGGUCAAGUCUCUCACAUUAGACAAAUGGGACGACGAGCAAGUGGAAAUGAUGGAGAUGGUGGGGAACGCAUCAGCCAAAGAAAAAUACGAGCAGCAUGUGCCAGCCUGCUACAGAAUACCCAAAGCUGGAGAUCCAUCGGUACUGCUAGAACAAUGGAUACGUGCCAAAUACGAGCGCCAAGAAUUUAUAGAUGUCGAUAAACAGACCUAUGUUAGAAGCUACCUGGAAGGAACUCUAAUGAAGAGAGCAAAAGAUGAAAAUAAAUAUUACCAGCGAAAAUUUAUCCUUGCUGAUAAUACAUUAAAAUAUUUUAGUAAAGAGAAUGCAAAAGAACCAAAGGCAACCAUAAACCUCUCAGAGCUGAAUGUGUGCUUGUCCCCUAGUAAGAUGAGCCAAGAGAAUGGCCUCCAGCUAUCUUACAUGUGUGACGGGUCCACGAGACACAUCUAUGUAUAUCACGAAAGCGGGGAGACUAUUAUACACUGGUACACAGCUAUUAGAUCCAUAAAACUAAAUUGGCUGAUGGUGGCCUAUCCUAGUGCCAGUGCAGAAGAGUUGGUGCCGUACUUAACAACAGACUUUGUUAUCGAGGGAUGGCUGUCGAAAACAGGUCCAAGCGAGAGGGAUGCUUACAGAAAGAGAUGGUUUAUCCUGGAUGACCGCAAAUUGAUGUACCAUGAAGGGCCAAUGGACGCCUAUCCCAGAGGAGAAAUCUUCCUGGGCCACAAGGACGACAACUACAGUAUUAAAGAAGGUGCUCCCAGAGGGUGUAAAGACCAAGACUUCUCCUUCUCCCUGACCACCCCAGAACGGACGUAUGUUAUGUCCGCACCCACGUCGGACGAGAGAGCGAGAUGGAUACAGGCAAUAAACGCAGUCCUGGAGCGAGUGCUUAGACCUCAAGACAACCAGAUGGCUGUCAACCUGGUACGCAAAAGAGCUGGAAAAUUUAGCCUAGACAUCUUCAGUUUGGGCUGAGGAGGAAACAGUCCAUUCACUUUCGGCUAUAAGUAUAUAUUUCUAUUUAAAAGGAUUUGUGCCCAUUCUAGGUUGACUUUUGUUAUUUGUUAAUUAUCCUCCAGACAGGAGUAGAGAAAGGAGGGGCUAAGUAAAUUAUUCUCAAAUAAAGGUUUACUUAUGAUUUUAUGUGAGAAAGAUGGUAAAAUUUGUAUUUUUAUAAUUUUAUGUUUGGUAAUUCUACUUCAGCUGAAGAGUCUCAUUACUGCUUUUCAUUACUUUGACAUCAACUGAAUGUAUUUAUAGGGGAUACUGAAGACAAGAGGGAUGAUUAAUGUUAAAAGGAAAUGAGUCUCAUACUCAUAUCAACAAAGAAGAUACAGCACCAUUGUUUUUCAAGUCGACAGUAUUUUCCAGUUUUGGGAAUAUUAACUGCAAUUUAAUUGUUGCAGUUUGUUAACCUGAUUUUUUUCUGAGAUGCAAGAUAGAAGGAGAGCUAUGUUGUUGUUGUUUCUUCCUUCAUUCUUGCAAGGGAAUUUAUACACUUUUUUUUUUUUUUUUAUUGAGGUACAGAUUUACCUCCAACUUGGCUCCCUCUUUUGGACUGAAUACAAGUUGAGCCAAUCCUAAUUGGUAGCCAAUUGGAAUUAAGAUUAUGGUAGCAAAAGAUCGGACUAAUUUUUUUUUUUCAGCAUUUUUUAAGAUUAAUUUUUGAACAAAGAAGCUAGGUCCGAUUUUUAAAGAAAUUUCAUAGUACAAAGUGUUAUUUCUGUCUCUUUUUUAUGAUAAGAAUGCUUCUGUGAAAUU